Molecule: long non-coding RNA, 4384 nt
Organism: Equus caballus (horse)
Lineage: Eukaryota; Metazoa; Chordata; Mammalia; Perissodactyla; Equidae
Source: Ensembl
CCAAUCUAACACCUGUUUUCGCCUCCUCGCUCCUAGCUUCCUGUGGAAUCCACAAGAAAGGCUCUCGCCCACGUUUUCCCCUCACUCCUUCUGCCUCCUGACUGACCCUGGCGCUGCCCUGUGUGGCCUUCCACGGUGUGCCCUGCCUCCUGUUGAUCAAGAUCUGUGAGGACAGAAAACUUCUUUCUUCAUGACAGCUAUUUCUAUAUCUUUGUAUUAGACUAUCCCUAGUGGAAACAAAUCUUGGGUACCCUUAAAACACCUGGGAUCCCACUUCAUUUACACAAGGCUGAAUAUUUUGCUAUUUUAUAUUUGGUUAAUACAUUCUGUUCAGAGCCUGUUUGAACAUCCUCUCAGCCACAGUUUGCCAUCACCUCUGAGAGGACAUGUUUUUACCUUGUUACCACAAGUACCUAAGCCAUUCUGCUCUCACAGGCAGUCUUUGCAGACAGGAUCCUCACUGAAUCCCCCUUUCCCCAGGAGUACAGAUAUGAUGCAACUUUUAUGACCUCCUCCUUCGAGGACAUUUGUUUGACACACUUGUAAUGGACAUACAAGUCCACAAUCUUUUAGUAGUUUUUUGGUUCUGGAGGCAACAUAACCCUUGUGUGCAAAUUUUAUUUAAGCCUAUUUAUGCUGUUACAAAUAAAUUAGCCCACCUUCAGCGGGGGUCCGCUCCAACAAAAGGCUCUGCAAACUGUCCAAAUUAAAAUCACCAGGCACUCCUGUCAGAGCCUCAGAGACUCCUUCAGUGAAGAGGCUUCAGCGACCUCCUCUUAUGCUUCCUGGAGCCUCUGGACCACCCACGAUGUGCAUACACUCUCUCUGGGCUUCUGAUGCAAGAAACCGCCCUCCUUGGCCCUGCAUUAUACUAUAGUAGAGCAGCAAUCACUGGUCAUGCACUGGGAUCUUCGGGAUUCUCCCAGACCUUGAGCCUCCAUACCCAGCUGCCCACUAUUCCUUGGGUCAUGGAAGCAGUACCCCACAAGUUCAGGAGUUAGCAAGGCCUCUUUGCUACAGGAUGGAGCCAAACCUGGGCCACAUGGCAUGUCCUACCUGCUGGCAAGGGUGCUCUCCCCUGUCCCCACUCCAUUGCCAGAUGCCAUGAUGCUGGAGGAUGUUACCCCUUCCCCAGGUCGCUUAGUACCUGGGGAUUCCCUUAUGAUCAACCGAGUGAACGUCAAUGAGAGUUCAUAUACUUGAGUUUGCUGAUGACCACUUCUCCUUUCUGGCCAAUUGUGCUUCCAGGGAAGCAUUUGUCUUCCUCCCUAAAAGUCUCAGUCAUCACCAAGGUGUAAUUGAUGUCAAGGCAUCAAAGAAUCAAUUCUGGUAUGAGGCCUGAAACGAAGAUUCAGUAUUAAGUGUGGCCUUGACUUCCGGUCAAAUCAGAGGGCCUCAAAUGGCCUACUUGCAAGUUCCCUACCCUCUCUGCUCCCACAGUUAAGGUCCCCUCACCAAAAAGAGCCCUUUAUCACAGGGACCAGGCACAGUUGCUCCACAAGUAGUAGGCUCCAGUUUACUAUCAGCCUGUGUAAUUACUCAAAGAAGGCAAUCAUACCUUCCUGCAGGAACCAAGGGUCACAACCACCCUCUUGUUACUGAAAAGUGUGCUCCCAUAGCCAUACAUAUUUACUCUCUUCCAAAGAGCUCUCCCUGUGUGGCUCUGCAUGGAGUGCAGUGUAUUACCCUGGGAUGGGAGAUUACUUAACAAAUAAACUGUUGUUGAGCUCAUCUGUUAAGCAUUCAGACAUGCCAUGACCUGAGAGGGGGUGAGAGUUGCAGCAUCUAAGUGAAGAGAAGGAAAAUUAAACACUUCUGGUGUGUAGUUUCUUGAAGCAAGGGCUCUGUUGUGAUAAGGCAGAUGGUCCUGAAGUCACUUGAGUCAGAACCUGUUCGGGGUUUGCAGAAAAUCGCACGUGGCAGGAGGGUGGCCUGUAUGUGGGUGAGGAGCAGGGAGGAAAGAUGCAGAGGCGAGGUCUUGGAGAUUCAGCUAAAGUUCAGCUUCCAGGAAAUGGGUGACCCUGAAUUAUUUCAAGCAGGGAAGCGAUGAAACCAAACACAAACUCAGGUUUGUUUACCCAAUUUUGCAGCAAAGCCAAUCAGUGAAACGUUAGGAUUAUAGCAAGGAAAGAGGUUUAUGAUCAAGAGGCAGCCAGACAAGGAGGUGAGAGUAGCUAUGCAAAACUCAAAGGAAAAAUACUGGGGUUUUUAGCUGCGGUUUCGGUUUCGGGUAGGGGUGGGGACCAGGAGAGCGCUGCAGGUGAAGCUUGAAGAGUCCUCUGCUCAGGUGCAACGGUGGAUCCCAUUUCUUCACGGGUCACAAGAGCGAACUCAGUAGGGUUCGACGUGGUGCAUGCCAAGGAUCUCUGCCUGUGACGCAGAAAGUUGGCGAUGGGUCAUUUCAGCUGGUCCAAGCCUCUGCACGAUGUCCAGUCAGGCGGGGGCCAGGGGGCUGCCAUCAAGCUGCUCUCUGCUCUGCCGUCUUCCUGUUGUUCUGCAAAACAACCUCAGAAACUUUGGUUACUUUCUUGCCCACGUCCACCCCUGUGGGGGCUGGGCACCGUGGUGUCAGUAACGGCAGGGUUUUCCUCUUGGGUCACCCUCCCAACAGUGUGGAGGAUGGAUUCAAGUGGGGAGGGGGGGCAGUGUGCCAGGAGGCCAGCCGGCAAGAUCAGUAAGGAGUCUACUGGGCUGGUUGCGUGCAAGAGACAGGAAGGCAUGCGGCAGAGCAGUGGGGACGGCAAAGAAGUUAAGGUGCUUGGCUCCCUUUGGGAGUCGGGAGGCUGCGAAGUGGGUGAGACAGAGAGCUCAAGCGUGGCCUUGAGGCCUCUCGCUCCCGGGUGAUGAGAUGGGCAGAGGUUUUCUGAGGUGAUGAAAGGAAGGUAAGAGGAGGGGGAGGGUUUUGUUGGAGGAUACCGGGCUCCCCUUUGGACGUGUCAGUUUUGAGAAGCCUUUGGACAUCCUGAGAGGUGCGUCCAGCAGACAGUUAGAGAAAGCAGCGUGGAGUCAGGGGCAGGGUGAUGUCAGUCGUACGCACUCAGAAGCCCUGGGCAUCUGGGGGCGAGUCGAAUCGUAGGAGCACAUGAGCUUGCUCUGAGACCCGAGGGGUUCCUGUUCCCUGAAGACCCUGCCUUCGAGAACAGAACCCUUUGAGAAGUGGUCGGGAGGAGAAGCUGCAGAGGAAAGUGAGACAGAAGGGUCUGAGGUUAGGAAGGGCACCUGGGGAGGGGGCCAUCCCCCAGAGAAAGAGGGUGGAGAGAACUUUCAGAGACUGUAGACGUGGGCAGCAUUCCUCAGACACCACAGAGAGUUUAGGAAGGCGAAGGAACCGAAGGGCGUUCCCUGGCCUCCUGCUAGGACGUGACGGCGACGAGAUUUGGGGAGUCUUUCGAGGAGCCGGUGAGAGACGAGGCGAUGACUGGAUGGCUGACGAGAAGUCGAGGUCUUUUGCCAGCAGCUUAGCCGUGAAAGGUAGAGAGAGAAGGCGGUGGUGGAGGAGCAGAAAGGAGAGGUGUGGAUGCUGGGAGAGACUUGGGUGUGCUCAGCGGCUUAAGGAAAGAGACGGGCCGAAGAGAAAGCAGCUGGCAAACUGAGGGAACGAGAUCUUUGGGGGAGGCUGAGCAGAUGGUUCCCAGGGCACCCCACGUGGAGCCAGGACCCUGGAACUGCCAAGCUGAAUCCCUCUUCCUGGAAAACCAAAGGGAAAGGGGAGGGGUGGGUGGAGAGAAGUAGAGGGACGUUCAAACGGGGGUGGGGGGGUGUGGGAAAGGGAGAGUUCUUGACUAGCUGGCUUCUGAUCUCUUCGGGUACCGAACGGUAUGAGGACGAUCCCGCUUGAGGCAGGCGAUGGAGAUUUGGAGGGGCUGUUGAGGAAACGGGGCGGGGGAUGGGGUUGACCACGGCCCUCUGAUGGGCUUGGGGGCAGAAGCGGCUUCCAUGCCCAUCGCGAGGCGCCGGUUCAGUCAGUCGGUGUCCAUCUGGACCACAGACCACAGACCCCUGCUUUGGAAAACAACAAGAUGCAGUUGGUAAACCCUUGCAAAGAUUUCUGACGUCUGGUGACUGGCUUUUCAACCAAAAGCGAGUCAGGGAAUAAGAUCCUCCAGUGCUUAGGAGUUUUCCUGUCUGUCCCAGAGGCCAGAGAGCACCCGAGGGCGGUUUCCCAGGAAGUGGAAAGAGGAGGAGGACCGAGCCGGGGGAAACCAAGCUUUCCUUGUGAAGUUUGGAUGCCCUUUGCACGUUGGUGCCCUUCCCCUUUCUUCCUACUGUCCCGGGAGUGGGCGCCCUCGCGCGCUUUCUGAUUCUGCAGCACUAAGGCAAGUUAGGUUCCCGCUCCCUGAGGGAAAGCUCAAUAAACGCCCCCCUUCCCCCACCCCCACCCUUC